This is a non-coding RNA of Maylandia zebra (zebra mbuna), 275 nucleotides long. Lineage: Eukaryota; Metazoa; Chordata; Actinopteri; Cichliformes; Cichlidae. The record is from RefSeq and is a predicted model, not a curated record.
GUGUUUUUGUAGAGGUCACCUGCGGAUCGUUUUCUCUGAAGUCUUCUCGCCGUCGCUUGCUGACACGUUUCCACACGUUCCAACACUGCAGAGCGAUAAAGAGGAAACUGCUGAGCAGCAGAACAUCAGCAGAGCCAGAAAAUCACACAUCAAUUGCCAAUAAAAGACAGACAUGGCCAGCAAACACACUAGUCCUGCAAAACAAGAAGAACCAGAGAAGCCAGAGCUCAGGAUUUUGCUUCUUGGAAAAACUGGAGUUGGAAAGAGUGUAUCAG